RNAcentral lists this ribosomal RNA (424 nucleotides) under uncultured prokaryote. Its description in RNAcentral is "bacterial SSU rRNA". It matches the Rfam family "Bacterial small subunit ribosomal RNA", at positions 355 to 796 of the family's 1533-position model. The record is from RNAcentral.
UGGGGAAUAUUGGACAAUGGGGGCAUCCCUGAUCCAGCCAUGCCGCGUGCGUGAAGAAGGCCUUCGGGUUGUAAAGCGCUUUCACUGGUGAAGAUGAUGACAUUACCCGCAGAAGAAGCGCCGGCUAACUCCGUGCCAGCAGCCGCGGUAAGACGGAGGGCGCUAGCGUUGUUCGGAAUCACUGGGCGUAAAGGGCGCGUAGGCGGCUGCUUAAGUCGAGGGUGAAAGCCCGGGGCUCAACCUCGGAACGGCCUUCGAGACUGGGCGGCUAGAGACCGGAAGAGGAGGGUGGAAUACCCAGUGUAGAGGUGAAAUUCGUAGAUAUUGGGUGGAACACCAGUGGCGAAAGCGGCUCUCUGGUCCGGAUCUGACGCUGAGGCGCGAAAGCGUGGGGAGCAAACAGGAUUAGAUACCCCCGUAGUCC